This 253-nucleotide ribosomal RNA is filed under the name uncultured bacterium. RNAcentral describes it as "partial 16S ribosomal RNA". It matches the Rfam family "Bacterial small subunit ribosomal RNA", at positions 524 to 776 of the family's 1533-position model. The record is from RNAcentral.
UACGGGGGGAGCAAGCGUUGUUCAGAAUUACUGGGCGUAAAGGGCGCGUAGGCGGCCGCCUAAGUCAGACGUGAAAUCCCUCGGCUCAACCGGGGAACUGCGUCUGAUACUGGGUGGCUUGAAUCCGGGAGAGGGAUGCGGAAUUCCAGGUGUAGCGGUGAAAUGCGUAGAUAUCUGGAGGAACACCGGUGGCGAAGGCGGCAUCCUGGACCGGUAUUGACGCUGAGGCGCGAAAGCCAGGGGAGCAAACGGG